This 73-nucleotide transfer RNA is filed under the name Camelus bactrianus (Bactrian camel). It matches the Rfam family "tRNA". Rfam says of the family: Transfer RNA (tRNA) molecules are approximately 80 nucleotides in length. Their secondary structure includes four short double-helical elements and three loops (D, anti-codon, and T loops). Further hydrogen bonds mediate the characteristic L-shaped molecular structure. tRNAs have two regions of fundamental functional importance: the anti-codon, which is responsible for specific mRNA codon recognition, and the 3' end, to which the tRNAs corresponding amino acid is attached (by aminoacyl-tRNA synthetases). tRNAs cope with the degeneracy of the genetic code in two manners: having more than one tRNA (with a specific anti-codon) for a particular amino acid; and 'wobble' base-pairing, i.e. permitting non-standard base-pairing at the 3rd anti-codon position. RNAcentral also lists the same sequence under 2 other names. Lineage: Eukaryota; Metazoa; Chordata; Mammalia; Artiodactyla; Camelidae. The record is from Rfam by way of RNAcentral.
GGGGGUAUAGCUCAAAUGGUAGAGUGCAUGCUUAGCAUGAACAAGGUCCUGGGUUCAAUCCCCACUGCUGCCU